RNAcentral lists this ribosomal RNA (258 nucleotides) under uncultured bacterium. RNAcentral's name for it is "partial 16S ribosomal RNA". It matches the Rfam family "Bacterial small subunit ribosomal RNA", at positions 96 to 354 of the family's 1533-position model. The record is from RNAcentral.
CGGCGGACGGGUGAGUAACGCGUGGGCAACCUGCCUUACACAGGGGGAUAACAGUUAGAAAUGACUGCUAAUACCGCAUAAGACCGCAGUACCGCAUGGUACAGCGGUAAAAACUCCGGUGGUGUAAGAUGGGCCCGCGUCUGAUUAGGUAGUUGGCGGGGUAAAGGCCUACCAAGGCGACGAUCAGUAGCCGGCCUGAGAGGGUGAACGGCCACAUUGGGACUGAGACACGGCCCAGACUCCUACGGAAGGCAGCAG